UGGGGAAUAUUGGACAAUGGGGGAAACCCUGAUCCAGCCAUGCCGCGUGUGUGAAGAAGGCCCUAGGGUUGUAAAGCACUUUAAGCAGGGAGGAAAGGGUGAUGGCUAAUAUCCAUCAUCAUUGACGCUACCUGCAGAAUAAGCACCGGCUAACUUCGUGCCAGCAGCCGCGGUAAUACGAAGGGUGCAAGCGUUAAUCGGAAUUACUGGGCGUAAAGCGCGCGUAGGCGGUUUGGUAAGUGUGAUGUGAAAUCCCCGGGCUCAACCUGGGAACUGCAUCACAUACUGUCAGGCUAGAGUACGGUAGAGGGGGGUAGAAUUCCACGUGUAGCGGUGAAAUGCGUAGAGAUGUGGAGGAAUACCAGUGGCGAAGGCGGCCCCCUGGAUCGAUACUGACGCUGAGGUGCGAAAGCGUGGGGAGCAAACAGG
Molecule: ribosomal RNA, 429 nt
Filed under: uncultured bacterium
Lineage: Bacteria
Description: bacterial SSU rRNA
Rfam family: Bacterial small subunit ribosomal RNA
Source: RNAcentral